Molecule: ribosomal RNA, 255 nt
Filed under: uncultured bacterium
Lineage: Bacteria
Description: partial 16S ribosomal RNA
Rfam family: Bacterial small subunit ribosomal RNA
Source: RNAcentral
UACGUAGGGUGCAAGCGUUUGUCCGGAAUUAUUGGGCGUAAAGAGCUCGUAGGCGGUUUGUCGCGUCUGCUGUGAAAACGCGAGGCUCAACCUCGCGCCCUGCAGUGGGUACGGGCAGACUAGAGUGCGGUAGGGGAGAUUGGAAUUCCUGGUGUAGCGGUGGAAUGCGCAGAUAUCAGGAGGAACACCGGUGGCGAAGGCGGGUCUCUGGGCCGAUACUGACGCUGAGGAGCGAAAGCGUGGGGAGCGAACAGG